This 121-nucleotide antisense RNA is filed under the name Triticum aestivum (bread wheat). Its description in RNAcentral is "lncRNA IsrR". It matches the Rfam family "Antisense RNA which regulates isiA expression", at positions 67 to 187 of the family's 187-position model. The record is from Rfam by way of RNAcentral. RNAcentral also lists the same sequence under 1 other name. Lineage: Eukaryota; Viridiplantae; Streptophyta; Magnoliopsida; Poales; Poaceae.
GAGCCAAGGUAUCAUAUACACCGCCAAAAUAAAGAGCCUUGAGUACUAGAAGAAAAGCACCUAGACCUAACAAAAUUAAGUGAAUACCCAAAAUUGUAGUCAUUUUAUUUCUAUCUUUCCA